AACGAACGCUGGCGGCAUGCCUAACACAUGCAAGUCGAACGAGAUCCUUCGGGGUCUAGUGGCGCACGGGUGCGUAACGCGUUGGAAUCUGCCCUUAGGUUCGGAAUAACAGUUAGAAAUGACUGCUAAUACCGGAUGAUGACGUUAAGUCCAAAGAUUUAUCGCCUGAGGAUGAGCCCGCGUAGGAUUAGCUAGUUGGUGUGGUAAAGGCGCACCAAGGCGACGAUCCUUAGCUGGUCUGAGAGGAUGAUCAGCCACACUGGGACUGAGACACGGCCCAGACUCCGACGGGAGGCAGCAGUGGGGAAUAUUGGAAAAUGGGCGCAAGCCUGAUACAGCAAGGCCGCGUGAGUGAGGAAGGCCUUAGGGUAGUAAAGCUCUUUUACCCGGGAAGAUAAUGACAGUACCGGGAGAAUAAGCCCCGGCUAACUACGUG
This 436-nucleotide ribosomal RNA is filed under the name uncultured bacterium. RNAcentral's name for it is "partial 16S ribosomal RNA". It matches the Rfam family "Bacterial small subunit ribosomal RNA", at positions 29 to 507 of the family's 1533-position model. The record is from RNAcentral.